CUCCCGGCUUCAGGUCCUGCAACCGCGGCAGCUUCUCCCACGUGAGCCCGAGGCUCCACCGGCCUUCGCGGAGAGUCCCGUGCCUCUGGUUGAGUAAUCCGCUCACCUGCAUGGAAUCGGCGCUAAUGAUCUCGCCUCCGCGGCGCUUCCCGAUCUCGAUGGCCAGCUUCGACUUGCCCGUGCCGGUGGCACCCAAAAUGACCACCAGAGGUGGCACGACACGUCUGCUCACGCUGCUGAGGACGGCGGCCGCCAUAACGAGACUGCGUGACUCGAGGGCUGCGUGCGGCGCGAAAGGCGCGCGCUCGGUAUCCGGGCAACCGCAAGCCGUCUCCAUGGUUGCAGGGAUGGGGAGGACGGACGGUAAUGGCUGUUAACGCCGUUCAUGGUAAAUGCUGAGAUUGCUGCACGCCUCCCGAAAGACCUGAGCACGAACAGCUCGGCUCAGGUUGCCGUAGAAACAGGAUUAUUCGAAUCUUGCAAAAGAGAAGAUGCUUGUUGCCAUGGUGAAGAGGUCUGCAAUGACGUAUCUCCGUGGAAACGGCGCUUGUCGCCGGAGUUUGUACACAGGUGCUGAUGUAGUAAAUCGCCUUUUUUAUGU
This is a long non-coding RNA of Scleropages formosus (Asian bonytongue), 601 nucleotides long. RefSeq lists it as uncharacterized. The record is from RefSeq and is a predicted model, not a curated record. The transcript has 2 exons. NCBI's taxonomy places the organism in Eukaryota, Metazoa, Chordata, Actinopteri, Osteoglossiformes, Osteoglossidae.